GACGAACGCUGGCGGCGUGCUUAAUACAUGCAAGUAGAACGCUGAAGGAGGAGCUUGCUUCUCUGGAUGAGUUGCGAACGGGUGAGUAACGCGUAGGUAACCUGCCUGGUAGCGGGGGAUAACUAUUGGAAACGAUAGCUAAUACCGCAUAAGAGUAGAUGUUGCAUGACAUUUGCUUAAAAGGUGCAAUUGCAUCACUACCAGAUGGACCUGCGUUGUAUUAGCUAGUUGGUGGGGUAACGGCUUACCAAGGCGACGAUACAUAGCCGACCUGAGAGGGUGAUCGGCCACACUGGGACUGAGACACGGCCCAGACUCCUACGGGAGGCAGCAGUAGGGAAUCUUCGGCAAUGGACGGAAGUCUGACCGAGCAACGCCGCGUGAGUGAAGAAGGUUUUCGGAUCGUAAAGCUCUGUUGUAAGAGAAGAACGAGUGUGAGAGUGGAAAGUUCACACUGUGACGGUAUCUUACCAGAAAGGGACGGCUAACUACGUG
This 495-nucleotide ribosomal RNA is filed under the name uncultured bacterium. RNAcentral describes it as "partial 16S ribosomal RNA". It matches the Rfam family "Bacterial small subunit ribosomal RNA", at positions 28 to 507 of the family's 1533-position model. The record is from RNAcentral.